RNAcentral lists this long non-coding RNA (790 nucleotides) under Dromaius novaehollandiae (emu). RNAcentral describes it as "lncRNA (ENSDNVG00000005132.1)". Lineage: Eukaryota; Metazoa; Chordata; Aves; Casuariiformes; Dromaiidae. The record is from RNAcentral.
CCCGCGGAGAGCGGCUCGGAGGGGCGAGGACAGGGUGAACCCGCCCCAAAUGAACGCCGCGGGCCAGGCUCGGUUCCCGGCUAGCACGCGGAGCAGCGCGGUUCGCGCGGGGCGCCCUGUCUGUCCCUUCACCCCGCCGGACCCUCUGCGGGUGGAGCUGGACGCAAGCUGUCAAGCCCCGAGGAGGUGGUGGGUGGUGUAUUUCUGACCUCCAAGUCCUCGUUUCACAAGGGAGACCUAAAGGCUAGCAUGUGUCUGGGGACAGAAGAGCCCCGCUCUGCUGUAGAUGCACAACAAAUUAUGGACCCCACAGAAAGAGCCUUAUGACUCUUCAUAAUUUCCCCAUAACUCCUGCGCUGUGAUCCACUCUGUUCAUAGGCAGUUACCUUUUUCUGUUCAAUAACUUCAUUCUCCGGUUGCACAGACUUGGAGCCAAGCGGUCAUGUGCCCAAAGCCUUCUCUGUUCUACUAGAUCAACUGAUCUACCUGAAAAAGAAAACACCAUUCCUUACAAAAGCAAAAUCACAUCCAGUGCUGGGGUGCCUCAUCGUGAGAACAGAUAUACUGGAUCAAACCGGAGUGGUCUCUGUGAAUGGACUGCUAGACUGGGUGGAACUGCUAGAAGGUAGCUGGAAGCUUUGGUGGACUGCAAGAACACAGACACCUCAGGGAGAAAGUUUUCUCCAUCAGCUCCUUAAUCCAAAUUCAAAACUUGUCUCUUUGAGUGAAUGACUACCACAGGAGUAUCAGGCAAAAGGGAAGAGAAAUCUUCUCUUAAAACAUCAUAAGC